This 533-nucleotide ribosomal RNA is filed under the name Fusarium redolens. RNAcentral's name for it is "eukaryotic LSU rRNA". The stretch from base 168 to 321 matches the Rfam family "5.8S ribosomal RNA". The record is from RNAcentral. Lineage: Eukaryota; Fungi; Ascomycota; Sordariomycetes; Hypocreales; Nectriaceae.
ACAGCGGAGGGAUCAUUACCGAGUUUACAACUCCCAAACCCCUGUGAACAUACCUUACUGUUGCCUCGGCGGAUCAGCCCGCUCCCGGUAAAACGGGACGGCCCGCCAGAGGACCCCUAAACUCUGUUUCUAUAUGUAACUUCUGAGUAAAACCAUAAAUAAAUCAAAACUUUCAACAACGGAUCUCUUGGUUCUGGCAUCGAUGAAGAACGCAGCAAAAUGCGAUAAGUAAUGUGAAUUGCAGAAUUCAGUGAAUCAUCGAAUCUUUGAACGCACAUUGCGCCCGCCAGUAUUCUGGCGGGCAUGCCUGUUCGAGCGUCAUUUCAACCCUCAAGCCCUCGGGUUUGGUGUUGGGGAUCGGCGAGCCUUUCUGGCAAGCCGGCCCCGAAAUCUAGUGGCGGUCUCGCUGCAGCCUCCAUUGCGUAGUAGUAAAACCCUCGCAACUGGAACGCGGCGCGGCCAAGCCGUUAAACCCCCAACUUCUGAAUGUUGACCUCGGAUCAGGUAGGAAUACCCGCUGAACUUAAGCAUAU